GCCACACUGGGACUGAGACACGGCCCAGACUCCUACGGGAGGCAGCAGUGGGGAAUCUUGCACAAUGGGCGAAAGCCUGAUGCAGCCACCCCGCGUGAGGGAUGACGGCCUUCGGGUUGUAAACCCCUUUAGGAGGGAACAAGCGUAAGUGACGGUCACCUGCAGAAGAAGCGCCGGCUAACUACGUGCCGAGCCGCGCGUCGAGUACGUAGGGCGCAAGCGUUGUCCGGAAUUAUUGGGCGUAAAGAGCUCGUAGGCGGCUUGUCGCGUCGGAGUGAAAACUCGGGGCUUAACCCCGAGGCUGCAUUCGUACGGGCUAGACUAGAAUGAGGUAGGGGAGAACGGAAUUCCUGGUGGAGCGGUGAAAUGCGCAGAUAUCUGGAGGAACACCGGUGGCGAAGGGCGGAUCUCUGGGGCGUUCCUGACGCUGAGGAGCGAAAGGUGGGGGGGCCAACAGGAUU
RNAcentral lists this ribosomal RNA (461 nucleotides) under uncultured actinomycete. Its description in RNAcentral is "bacterial SSU rRNA". It matches the Rfam family "Bacterial small subunit ribosomal RNA", at positions 307 to 779 of the family's 1533-position model. Lineage: Bacteria; Bacillati; Actinomycetota; Actinomycetes; Actinomycetales. The record is from RNAcentral.